GGGGGCGACAUGGUUUCGACGCGGGUUGCAAAACCUGAGGCGCAUGCCGAGGAACAGUACACCUCGUAAAUACAACUGUAAACUUUAGAUAUUCGCCAACGACGAAGUCUACGCCCUGGCGGCUUAAACCCGCCAGCCUCUGACUGAGUACGUGCUUGUGCGCUCAGCGUCGGUGUAAAAAGCUGACAUUCAGAGGUCACCCCUCACAAGUACGCGGAUUGAUACGUUUGGGAUUGUCCGUUAAAUUAUACCAAACCCACGGAUAGAUUGUCCUGCCUAUCGGAUGACUAGCUAGUGGUUAAACCAAAAGAUAGGGUCUAAGCAUGUAGAACCAAAGGCGGAGGACUUGCGGACGCGGGUUCGAUUCCCGCCGUCUCCACAA
Non-coding RNA from Candidatus Thiomargarita nelsonii, 382 nucleotides. NCBI's taxonomy places the organism in Bacteria, Pseudomonadati, Pseudomonadota, Gammaproteobacteria, Thiotrichales, Thiotrichaceae. The record is from Rfam.